Molecule: long non-coding RNA, 735 nt
Organism: Ostrea edulis (European flat oyster)
Lineage: Eukaryota; Metazoa; Mollusca; Bivalvia; Ostreida; Ostreidae
Exons: 2
Source: RefSeq, a predicted model, not a curated record
AUGGCGUUCCAUAGUUUGUUCUCAUCAUAUAGUCGUUACGGAUAGUUGGUCACGGCUGUCAGACCGGUUUGUAAAUGCUUACGUGUUAGUUCUGACCAGGCCGUGGAAGUGGGAAGGUGUUUCCGCCCAAUGUGAGAAAAUGAUAGACCUGUGUGGUGGAGAGUUUUACCUGUGUGGUUUACUGGGCCUGCGUUGUAUGUACAUUUAGUACGGGUGUUCGAAUGAUGUUCCUGUGUGGAAAGUGAGAACACAAUUUUGAGCAUUUCGACAGCGGUGACCAGCUGUGUGUGUUAUUGUAUGGCUCGAGCAGGUGCUCGCAACAUGUAUAACAUGGCGUUCUGAGAUAUUUGAACAGCGUUGGAGAACGACCUAUAGAAAUACAGGAAAUACGUUCACGGCUACAGAAACGUUGAGCGAGUGAUGGACAAAGUGUCACCACGUGUCUGAAGACAGCCAACGACUGUUGUGUAAAGUGUGGUAACUCUUUAGUCAACGUAUUUUGUUUCGCCAUCCUGUGUAACAUAUUUCGAAUUCGAGAGACAAGUCUGCUGGUUUUCUUACAUAAGGCAACAUAACGUAACAUUUAGCUUUAGUCGGGUACACGUGUAAUCGUCUGUAAAUUCAUAUUUUUGUUUUGUUUUUGUGUGUAUGCGUGUUGUUGUGUGCAUGCGUGUGUAUGAGUGUAGAUGUUACUUGCUAUAUUAGUGAGCACGAUAAUAAACUUAUUUGCACAUA